RNAcentral lists this ribosomal RNA (230 nucleotides) under uncultured Alicycliphilus sp. RNAcentral describes it as "partial 16S ribosomal RNA". It matches the Rfam family "Bacterial small subunit ribosomal RNA", at positions 553 to 774 of the family's 1533-position model. Lineage: Bacteria; Pseudomonadati; Pseudomonadota; Betaproteobacteria; Burkholderiales; Comamonadaceae. The record is from RNAcentral.
AGCUCAGCACUGGGCGUAAAGUGUGCGCAGGCGGUUUUGUAAGACAGAGGUGAAAUCCCCGGGCUCAACCUGGGAACUGCCUUUGUGACUGCAAGGCUGGAGUGCGGCAGAGGGGGAUGGAAUUCCGCGUGUAGCAGUGAAAUGCGUAGAUAUGCGGAGGAACACCGAUGGCGAAGGCAAUCCCCUGGGCCUGCACUGACGCUCAUGCACGAAAGCGUGGGGAGCAAACA